Molecule: unclassified non-coding RNA, 208 nt
Filed under: soil metagenome
Description: partial contains 5.8S ribosomal RNA, internal transcribed spacer 2, and large subunit ribosomal RNA
Source: RNAcentral
AACGCACGAGACCUGCGGACCUGCGGAGGGAUCAUUACCGAGUGAGGGUUCCCUCGUGGGCCCAACCUCCCACCCGUGUCUAUCGUACCUCUGUUGCUUCGGCGCGGCCAAAGUGACCGCCGAAGACCCCUCUCGAACGCUGUCUUUUGAAGGAUUGCAGUCUGAGUUGAUUUGAAAAAUCAGUCAAAACUUUCAGCAACGGAUCUCU